UAGGGAAUAUUGCUUAAUGGGCGCAAGCCUGAAGCAGCAACGCCGCGUGUGCGAUGACGGCCUUCGGGUUGUAAAGCACUUUUCACCGGGAAGAGGAAGGACGGUACCGGUGGAAUAAGCCUCGGCUAACUACGUGCCAGCAGCCGCGGUAAAACGUAGGAGGCGAGCGUUAUCCGGAUUUACUGGGCGUAAAGCGCGUGCAGGCGGAUUGGAGAGUUGGAUGUGAAAGCUCCUGGCUUAACUGGGAGAGGUCGUUCAAUACUUCCAGUCUUGAGUGCAGUAGAGGGAAGUGGAAUUCCGGGUGUAGUGGUGAAAUGCGUAGAUAUCCGGAGGAACACCAGUGGCGAAAGCGGCUUCCUGGACUGUAACUGACGCUCAGACGCGAAAGCUAGGGUAGCAAACG
This 403-nucleotide ribosomal RNA is filed under the name uncultured bacterium. Its description in RNAcentral is "bacterial SSU rRNA". It matches the Rfam family "Bacterial small subunit ribosomal RNA", at positions 355 to 774 of the family's 1533-position model. The record is from RNAcentral.